CUCCAGCGGGUGGGAGGCGGGAGUGGGCUGUGUUCUUAAAAAUGGGAAGGAGAGGGAGAUCCGUGGUCCGACAGUUGGCGAUGCUGCGUAACAAGUUACGUCAUUCACACACGCAUCUCUUGACAAUGUUCAGAAAAAAAAAAGUUUGUUGACUUAAGUUGCCAGUGUAGUGCAGAACCAACGCUAGUAGGUCGGCGAGCGCUCUGCGGGAGGGUAACAGCUCCUGAAAGGGAGAGACUUUGCAACAGUGCGUUGAUUUUCUUGACAAAGCUGUGUCUCGGUACGGCUGAAAACAGCUCGGACCGAUCCAGUCGGGAGACGCGAGCGGUGGACCGGAAAGCUGCGUGCCGCAAUGGAAUUUGUCCUGACUAGACUGAGAGACUUCUCCCGCAAGGCUGCCACCUUCGACAGCUGCCCACCCGUUGGGGUCGUGAGCCGCAGGGAGCCCCCGAGACAGAUCAGCGAGGCGAGGAGAGGCCAGAGAGAGAAGUGUGCGGCCGGAGAAGGCGGCUCCUGCCAGUGGGACAUCGAGAGCGCCCUGGCCUGGCUGCGGAAAGAGCUGAUGGAGAUGCGCUCUCAGGACCAGGCUCUGGUGCGGCAGCUGAUGGACCUCCAUGCUGGCAUCCAGGAGCUGAGACUAGAGUGUGCCGAGGGGGAGGAGAAUGGGGAUGAAGGCCAGGGCUGGGAUUGUGGGAGUGACUCCGGCAGCCCCAGUGUGUACUCCAGCUCCGGGGAGGUGGGCUAUUCUGGCCCCUUUUCCUUCACCGGCAUGGCCCCGCUCCGCAGGGGGUACUCGCCUGGCCGGGUUUUCAGCCGGAGGAGCUCCGUGCCAUGAGCACGGGACUCCCCUGCCUUAGGUUUGUGCUCAACAGCCCGGAAUGUAACAUGCUCAUCUCACAAGGAGCACUCGUCUGGGAUGAUCUGUUUCAUUCUACCUGUUGAACUAAACCCAGGACUGAGGUUACAGCAACCUUGUUUUCGUCACCAGUCUCACGUCAUGCUUUAUUGCAGGCUACAAUCCUCAAUAGAUGUGACUGAUUUCCUAACGACAAUUUAAACGCAUGGCCUUUUUCGCAGUUUUGGUAUUUUGUGGUCAGAAUUACCUAAAAAGGCUUUAAUUUCCUCUUCCACUGUAGCUAGUUGCUCAGUUUUCAAAUGACUCUCUGUAGAGCAGUCUAACUAAAAUGAUUUAUUUCCAGUAACACUGUUGCUAAAUACCAUUAAGGAAUGAAAAUUCAGAAGGAGUCAUAACUGCUGUAACAUUAGUCAAAUGACAACAAACACAGUGAAUGUUACCGUGAAAGAUAAAUCGUAAGGUAGGCAGGGCAGUAGAACAUUAAAAAGACCAGUGUCAGAUUUCCACUAUUGGACCAUACACAUUACCGCCUGCAUGGUUGGGAGCUUCACUAUUGUACUGUUGUGAUUUUCUUUAACAAAGCCCUGCUUUGUCUGGGUGUCUAUAGUCAGGAUCCUAGCAAUUGUCUCAGAGUGAAUGGACUUCCAAGUGAAAAGUGGAACAUAACUCGAUAUCAUUGUUUAUUGCGACCUAGCAAGCCCCGCGACAAAGCAUCGGGUCAUCUGCCGAAAGCAAGUUCGUACAAAGAAGGUCUUGUGUCAAUCACAUGGCGCCCCCUUGAAAAAUGAUUUAAAACCCAGUGCAGAAGAAGCUAGACUUCCUUUCUGUAGGUUGACAAAGCAGAAAUACCCUCUAGACGGGAAGAGGUGGUUAAUGAAACCACCCUGCAGCAUGAAAUGGCGCCACUUUUGAAGUGCAGGUGUAAUUUUACACGGAAGGGGAGAUUUUCGAGAGUGGAAAAGAAUUUCGAGUCACAUCAACCAAGAUCCAAAAACCUUUAUCAUGUUCAAAUAUUAAUUGCCCGUUUAAAAUACGAAAGGUAUAAGUCUUGCAUGAACCACACCAUUUUAGUUUAACAUGUAAUUAUACAAUAUUACAUCCCUUAGAUUUUGCCAGGAUAUGGAUAUACAGUAUAUACAGUAUACACAGUGUAUGUAUAUAUAUAUAUAUAUAUGUAUAUGUAUAUACAGCACGUCUACAUCUUCAUCCUUUGUAUCCCAGAACUUCUAAAAAUGUAUUGUAGUAUUAAUUUUAUCACGGCCCCGUGAAAACUGGCAGUCCCACGGUACUUUUGUGUGACUGGAGACGCCAUCAGUCGAGCCCAUGGGGCACUUUUGUUGAUCUGACCCCCUUGAAAUCCUCCUCUCCCACCCUGACAAGUGGACCUGUGUCCACAGCCUUGUGUAACCCUGUAGCAGACAAGUGCUCCUUUGUGGUACGCCUCACCUCUGUAAUAAAGACUGCGAAACUCGGCUGUGUCA
This is a long non-coding RNA of Scleropages formosus (Asian bonytongue), 2337 nucleotides long. The record is from Ensembl. Lineage: Eukaryota; Metazoa; Chordata; Actinopteri; Osteoglossiformes; Osteoglossidae.